UUGAACAGAGCAUUUCGUGGAGCUUCUUGGGCUGAUUUUGUAUGGGAAUCUAAAUUGCCUACGAAUUAUGUUCGUCUUAUUCAAAGAGUUCUUGGUGAUGAUUUGCCAAGAAAUAUUAGUAGGAGAGAAAUCUAUACCAGGCUGUGUAGAGCUAACACUUUUGAUGGUGGUACCAAGAAAGUAUGGCUAAAAAAAAAUAAUGGUGGGGUCUGCUUCUUCGAAGGGAUUAGCGAUUACUGGAAUCGAUGACAGAAGGUAUUGGAAUCAUAUUCCAACCGAAGAAUCUAGAUUCGACUCUGUUGCAUAUCUUCAGCAAAUCUGGUGGUUUGAGGUUGAUGGGCAGUUUGAAUUCCCAUUUCCAGCAGGAACCUACAGCAUAUUCGUCAGGUUGCAAUUGGGGAGAGCUGCCAAGAGGUACGGUCGCCGAACCUGCAACACAGAGCACGUCCAUGGUUGGGAUAUAAAACCUGUGAGGUUUCAGCUAUGGACUUCUGAUGGUCAGUA
RNAcentral lists this unclassified non-coding RNA (504 nucleotides) under Hevea brasiliensis (rubber tree). The record is from RNAcentral. Lineage: Eukaryota; Viridiplantae; Streptophyta; Magnoliopsida; Malpighiales; Euphorbiaceae.